RNAcentral lists this long non-coding RNA (878 nucleotides) under Homo sapiens (human). Its description in RNAcentral is "non-protein coding LINC00635:42". The record is from RNAcentral. Lineage: Eukaryota; Metazoa; Chordata; Mammalia; Primates; Hominidae.
AUAGCAACAGCAGCGUAGCUGAACAUCUUACGGAUGGCCCAGGGCUCCAAAGGCUCGUUUCCUAAGUGAGAGAGAGCCUGGCUGAAGCUGUAUUACCAUUCAUUCUCCAGCCUCCGAAGUCUCAAAGCAUCACUUCCACCAUACUCUAACUGUCAAGACAAACACAAAGGCCCAGAAACUGCCAGACUGUCUUCUGAAGUGGCUAUAAUAUUUACACUCCCAUCAGCAGUGUAGAAGGGGUCUCACUAUGUUGUCUGGAGUGCUGUGGUGGAGUGGAGUGGCUAUUCACAGGAUUCUUGGAAUGGACUGUAAAAGUCUGGAAUCAAGACUUUGUGUUUCCUCUCUAACAUGUAAAGAGCUUAGAAGUUGUCGCUAUUGCCCUUACAACAAAAUGAAGCUGGACAAACUGAAAAUCAAUGACUUUUCUUGGACUCACUAUACAGCUGAGUUUGCAGAGUAAACCACUACCCUGAAAUCUGGAAAGGCAGGUGCACCCACAGAUCCUCAGCUGAGAUCCAAUUACCUGAAAUAGAAGCUGCCAUUAGGAACACUUAAAAGUGGUUCAAUAUGAAGGCAGUAGGAGGGACCAGAUGAACUCGCAUGAUUACACAUUCACAUCCGAUAUUCCACCAUUCAGCUCUUCUUCCAGCUCUUUUCCCAGUGGGAGAGCACUAAGACUACUGGUUUGUAGCCUGUUCUGCUGGGACACAGAAUCACUUGCUCCAUCUCAUACAUUGAUGAUGAUUAAUUUGUAUGUGUACCUUCCAAAAAAGAUGGUUGUGUUUGAAUGGAGGCCUUCUGGACAGGAAAAUAUGGAGAGUGCGUGCUUUGGAUUCAAGACUGGGAAUGAGGGGACCAGAAACCUAUUCUGUGGCUGU